This is a long non-coding RNA of Astatotilapia calliptera (eastern happy), 5244 nucleotides long. The record is from Ensembl. NCBI's taxonomy places the organism in Eukaryota, Metazoa, Chordata, Actinopteri, Cichliformes, Cichlidae.
CCAGUUUAUGUGACUGCACUCGCUGCUGCGGGGUGACGAUAAUCAUGUAGCAGCGGCUGCUUCAGUGAAUAAAGUGAGACGGUGUGUGCUUCGUGUAGUUUUCAUUUCUGAAAUCUAAAAUUUACACUGAACUCCAGUGUUAGCGUGGAGCUAUUCUGGCAUCAAAUCCCUGAACCUUACAAACUGUGAGCGGCGGCAUGCUCAGCUGUGUUAUGGCAAAGGAGGACCAGCUGACACCCAGCAUGGUCCGACCAACCUGAGAACCAAAGUGUGUUAUUGGACUAUGUAAAGCCUAAGUAUACAAAUACAGGCUAUUUACCAUUUAUUUAUCACUGAAUUAAACUAAACUAACAGCAGUCUUUCUUCUGCUUCUCCUGAACAUUAAGUACCUGUCUCAGCUGAUAUUGAUCUUCUGUGAUUCAAAUUCAGAUCUGUGGUUAAUCAAAUUAUCUACAACCAAUUGACACGCCGCAAACUCAGAGCUUUGGAGGCCAGACGCAGCUGACCGCUCUGCACGGCCGUUAAUCCAACCUUGGCUCAUAGAUUUGUUCUGUACCCAGAGUUGGACCGACGGUUGGGUUCUGGUGCACCAAAUCAGUACUGAAUCUGACUGACCAACUCUGUUACUCUUUUCUGCUUAUAAUUGAUUAAUUGUGUUACUUUGUUUACUUUAAGAAAACAUUUCGGGCUUCUUUCAGUUUCCAAUGUGUCGAACACACCGGAAACACAGAUGUUUAGAAGAAAUCAUCAGUCUUGUCUGCAGUUGGUGAGCCUGAUGCAGGCAGUAAUGCACAUCUACGAGCCACGUGCAUGUUUGAUUUGUCAACUCUACAUUUACAAAGUUUCUUCUUUUCUGGAAACCGAGCCUGGUUUUAUGAUUUUAAUAGUCAAUGUUUUAUUGGGGUGUAGUUCAUGUUUUAAGAAAAAGAGGACAUCUUUAAAAGAAGUUCAAACCUGAUGGAAAUACGUCAUCUCUGCUAGUUUCUGUGCAAACACAGCUGAUGGUUUUGACUCUACAGUAGGAUGCUGAAGUCACAUGAUGAAUAAAUGAUGGACGUAGCCAUCGUGAUGUCACCUGUUAGUUUGUAAAGACUGAAGCUGAGCCCACUGACCAUCAUCAUCUUAUCUUAAGAAGAUGUCACAUUAGAGGGAUACUGGAUGCUUAUACGCUAGCGACUUGUCGAUCACACCCAGCUUUACUGUCCUUCUGGGAACUAAUGGACUUUGAUUAGAGUUGAAACACACGAGUGAGACCACAAGCUGUUGAUGAUAGCGUUUACUGAGGUCACACGGCGCUCUCGAUUCGACACAUAGGAUGAUUUUUUUCACUUGUUUUAAACUAUAAUAGUUCCUGCGAAUGAUCUGUGUCUUCAGAAUCAUCAGGAACUUUUCUUGGGAACUUUUUUACUUUGCUGUUGUGUUUUACAUCUGGUGUUACCAUGGAAACCAGAUUUAAUGCAGCCUAAGCCCGAAAAUACAGACAUUUACCUGCAAGGUUAAAAUUCGGACAUAGCUUCGGGUUCUGAAAAGUACUUUUUUCUUAUAUAAUGGCCAACAGGGGGCGACUCCUCUGGAUGGUUUAGUUGUCUUUGACACAUUGACCUUUGGCUCUCCCAAUCUAUAACCUCAUUAAAGACUUUCCUGGUGGCUCUAUGGUCGCAAUCAAUACCUUAUAGUGUUCCUUUUUAAAUAACGAUCUCUGUUAGAGUCAAAAAUGACAAUGACUCGGGGUACGAGCAUGUGACUUAAAACUCCUGGCAGUAUCAAGUUUCUCGUCUGGUUUCAACACCAAGACGCUUCUGGACGAUUCAGUAAGGGAUGGCUCAUCACAUUAGCUACAUCCAUCAUCUUUACUCAGUAUAUGAAUGUAAUGCACAGUAUAAAAGUUGGGCUUUAAUGCACAAGUUCAAAAUCAACACAUAAACAGGUCGACGCGCUGCAGGUGCAUGUCAGCAAAUUCAUAUUUUCCACACACUCAAAACGUGGUUAGAUGGAUGCAGCAGGGAGACAGAGUUUGGUUCUGUUGAAGGAUCACCGCCUCCAUCUGCUCUCUCUGAUACCUGUUUAAAUAUUUUAUAAUACAGCCUAAUGAAACAUGAAGAGCCCGGCUUUUCCAAACAAUUAAGCAUAAUGAGUGUCUCUCAGAGAUCGUGGCGCUAAAACUAAAAGGCAACAACUGGGAAAUCAAACAUGUCAAAGACAGAACUGAAACUCUACACUGAUGGAAGCACAGUCCGGAUCCAGCAUCCGGGCCCGCUCUUUACCGCCAGCCGACUGAGCCUAGUUUCGAAUUGACGGACGUCGGCGGUAACCAAUCAGCGCCUGCCGUGCGCCAAAGCCGUGUUUAUUCCACUUAGCCGACCAAUCCGAGCCGUCCUCUGCGGCCAAGUGCGUCAUCAGAGUAGAAUGUGAAUGUGGGCUGCCUGUUACCGGAGCACACUUUGCUCCCAUCCCCCAUCAACACUGAGCAAUGGCGGCUACCCUUUUUUGCGUGCCGCUUUGUCCUUCUCAGUUCAGCUUGUAAAAGCCAUGUGUACAAAAGUCGGCGGAGGAAAUGAGCCACCAGCACUGUUCACUGCACCCGCUCACUGAGCCCGAACAGCCCGAAUCACGGCGUCAGAGCCGGCUGUGUGUGUGUUGUUCGACGGGCACUGUGUUUAUUUGUGUCUCGACCUUGGCGCACGAAUUUAUGGGCUGUUAUGUAAAAAAAAAAAAAAAGCCCUCAAGAGUGUCAAGUGCGCACAUACAGGGAUGAGUUUCAAACAUGGACGUCGGGAAGGGGCGGGGCGACGAAGAGCUGCGAUGUGACAUGGCGGCGCCGCUCCACAUUUACACUCUGAGCGCCUUGUAUCUGACUGAUGUUGUUCACAUGGAGCUUGAGAUGUGACACUAACUUUUGGGGAGAAAAGCCCGAUUUAAUCCGUAAUAACAUCCGUGUCGUCCACGUUUCCCUCCCAAACACUUCGCCUCUAUUCCCCCGUCGCGGCGGUGGGCGGGAGAAACCGUCUGAAGUCGCCGCUUGACUCGUCCAGACGCACAUCAAUCAAUCAAAGUGACACUACGUCAACCGAAGCGCUCUCGAUUCGACAUAUUUACUGCGUAACUCGACGGAAACUCGAUUUUCUUGCGCUCACGGUGCUGUGGAGCUGCCACGGUUCCGGCUCCGGUCCGUUUUGUGGGCUUUUAUCGACUCUGAUUAUUGUUUUAGGGGAGAAAGGGACGGUUGCAGCGAUAGAAUAGGAGGGGGCGUGGCCUUUGGGUUAAGAAAUCCUAUCCAUUGUUACUCUACGCGCUAGGAGAACACCUCUGCCGAGCCUCUGGCCAAUCAGAGACCACCGACCUCAUGAAGACCCCGCCCACAAGCCUAUAUUAAAGGCUCGGCCGUCAGAAGCAUUGGCCACUGGCACAAUAUAAUACUGAUUGAUCCGCUAACCGAGACGAGGGGAUUUACUUUAUUCAACCUUUCAUUUCAGCCGUCCUUUAUUUUAUUCUACUAAACAAUGGCAGACACACAGGUCGACUCCGGCUCGGAUAUCUCUGCCAAGGACCUGAAAGAGAAGAAGCUGGUGGAGGAGAAGGAGAACGGCAAAGACGCCGCCACCAAUGGGAAGGAGAAUGAAGAGAACGGUGAGCCCGAGGAAGAAGAGGAAGAUGAUGGAGAAGGUGAUGAGGAAGAUGAGGAGGAGGACGACGACGAGAUUGAGGGUGGCACAAAACGGGCAGCUGAGGAUGACGAGGACGACGACGAGGACGACGUCGAAACCAAGAAGCAGAAAACCGACGAUGACGAUUGAUGCGUUUCCCCCGCGCCAUCCUGCUGAACCACUUCCUGAUUCUUCACCUCUGACCAUUUUUCUAUGUCGCAGGUGGAGGGGCUGGAGGACUGAUUUAAAGGAAAAAAUAAUAAUAAUAAAAAAAAUCCAACAUGGUCAUUAGCAAGUAGAGUUCAACAAACACCCGCCACGCCCACACCCACCCGAGCUCCCCUCGACGCUGCGAGACAAAUUUUCUAGAGGAACCCGCCACCGCAUCGACGACGCAGAAAUCCGGCUUCUCUUCAGCAACAACACAAAAGGAGAAUUUGUUUGUAUUUUUAUUUACAUUUUAUAUUUUUGUACAUAUUGUUAGGAGAGGGGAGGGGGGCAGUUUCUCUCUCGGCAGCGAUCCCGUCAGACCAAAUCGGUGCUUCUCUAACGAAAGAUUUUACUUGGUUGACCAUGUUACGAUAUCUCAACAGAUCUUAGAAAAACGUGUAAAAAAAUAAAAUGAAUAAAAACAUGAAAGACAACCUCUUAAGCCGUUGAACUCAGAGCAUUCCAGUAAAUUUAAUGUAUGUACUUUAGCUGUACCAUAACUAGUUUGUUUGUAUGGGAGGGUAAGGCCAAAGAAAAGAGCCUCUUUUCUUUUUCCUUUCUUUUGGUUUUUUUUCUUUUGGUUUUGUUUUUGUCAGCGACUUUUUGUUUUAUGACGGCCUGUUUUGAUGUAUGUGCAAAGUUUGUUGUUUGACAAUAAACCGGACUUUUAUUUUGUGAGUUGUACUUUGUAUCUCUGCCCCUUUUUAUUUGUGCUUUGCUCUCCUGUGAGGAAGAGGAAGCAGUGCAGGUAAACCUGAGGUCUGCUUUUACUUUAGGGUCACAACAGCGAGGAGGUGGGUCCAGCACAUCUUAUUGGACAUUUUACACUCAUUACAUCCAUAUAAUUCAUAUUACAUAAAAGUUAAGGUUUGGUACUAAAAUAAACUGGCGGUUCCAAAAGACUAAAUGUGGUUUAUUUCUUUUGGAUUUUUCUCUUCUUUUUGUCUAUAUUGCAAACAUGCAAACAGAAGCAGUUCUGAUAGUUGAAAGUUGUAAGAAUAACAUAAUGUGUCACAUAAAUAAGGGUUUCUGCAUGAAUUUAAAGUCUUAACAUUAAAAUAAAGCAUAUUAAGGUCUGAGAAGCUGAUCUGUAUUCUAAUAAAUUUCCUCCGUUUGUAGAGGUUGUGUUUAAGGUCCGUGGGAAAAAUCAUUGCCAAUAAGUUUAAUUUUGUAAGUUAGUCUGUUAGUAAAUUUAUUUGGACCAAUGUCCAGGUAAGUGCACUUCUACAAUUUCAAGUUCUUUGGUUUGAAAAUGUAAAAAGUGCAGAAAAAGAGUAAAAAGUUGGAGAAAUUCCUGAUUCAGGAUCUUCCAGUGAGGCGGUGGAAAACUGCACAAUAAGAAGUGAGAGCUUAAGCUCAAAGUCGUGUUUUCAGAUUCAGUGUUUUGUCU